GGUCAAUGGGCGCAAGCCUGAACCAGCCAUCCCGCGUGCAGGAAGACGGCGCUAUGCGUUGUAAACUGCUUUUCCAGGGAGAGAAACUUGCGCACCUGUUGCGCGAUUGCCGGGACCCUGCCAAUAGCCUUCGCCCCGGUCCGUGCCAGCAGCCGCGCUGUUCCGAUGGAGGGGGGGGUUAUGGGGAUUCUUUGGGCUUAAAGGUCGCGUAUGCGGAGCCGGGUUUAACCUCGGAAAUCCUGCCCCUUAACUGCACUUUGCCGUUGGUACAGAUCCCCUUAACCUGGGAAGGAAGGCGGAAUGUGUUUCGUGGGGUAACAAUGCUGGGAUUUUACACCAAACACCAAUUGCGUAGGCGCCUUACUGACCCGACCCUGACCCUAAGCCGAAAAACUAAGGCGUUCGAACAGGAUUAGAUACCCUGGUACUCCACCCCGUAACCAAAAAUAACUCGCUGUGGGCAAUCCAAUGUCAUCGCCUAAGCAAAACCAUAAACUAAUCCACCUGGGAAUAACGACUACAAGGUUAAAUUUAAAAUGAAUUGACGGUG
This 550-nucleotide ribosomal RNA is filed under the name uncultured anaerobic bacterium. Its description in RNAcentral is "bacterial SSU rRNA". It matches the Rfam family "Bacterial small subunit ribosomal RNA", at positions 366 to 918 of the family's 1533-position model. The record is from RNAcentral.